RNAcentral lists this ribosomal RNA (521 nucleotides) under Apiotrichum scarabaeorum. RNAcentral's name for it is "partial 26S ribosomal RNA". The record is from RNAcentral. Lineage: Eukaryota; Fungi; Basidiomycota; Tremellomycetes; Trichosporonales; Trichosporonaceae.
UGGGCGACCCCGGCCAAAAGGCGAGCUGCAGUCCUCAGUCUCCCCCAGUGUAUGUGACAAUAGGCUAUAACACUUCCGAAGAAGCCACAUUCCUACUGCCUUUAUCCACCGGACAAAACUGAUGUUGACCCGUUCAAAGGAAGUAGACUAGAAGAACUAGCUGAAUCCAAUGAACACGACUGACUUCAAUCGUUUCCCUUUCAACAAUUUCACGUACUGUUUAACUCUCUUUCCAAAGUGCUUUUCAUCUUUCCCUCACGGUACUUGUUCGCUAUCGGUCUCUCGCCAAUAUUUAGCUUUAGAUGGAAUUUACCACCCAUUUUGAGCUGCAUUCCCAAACAACUCGACUCGUAGAGAAUGUAUCACAGAGCACUGAUGAUUGUGUCAAGUACGGGAUUGUCACCCUCUUUGAUACCCUGUUCCAAGGGACUUAGACACAGUUCAGCACGGAAAACACUUCUAUAGAUUACAACUCGGACUAUCGAAGACAGCCAGAUUUUAAAUUGAGCUUUCCCGGUCAC